Molecule: long non-coding RNA, 2513 nt
Filed under: Trifolium pratense (red clover)
Lineage: Eukaryota; Viridiplantae; Streptophyta; Magnoliopsida; Fabales; Fabaceae
Description: long non-coding RNA (TPRA_LNC007517)
Source: RNAcentral
UCACCCCUGAGUGUGUCAAAAACAACCUGGUGCCUCAAUUUAUCCUGCAAAUAGGAACAUACAAUUGCCACAAUGACCAUCACAGAAGAGGAUUGCCGGAUUGAACUGAGUUGAAAUGUGGUUGGUUCAACUGGCUCAUUGUUUUCAUUUUUAUUAAUUACUUGUUUAUUAAGUCAUUUGGUUCAAGCGGUUGGAUUGAAUCAAUUAAACCAUAAAUAAAGGUUUACUGAUUCGAUCUCUAGUUGCCAAUAAGAAGUAAUCUGCAAAUCAAAAAAUCUGAAAUGAAAAUCUAAAAACCAAAUUGGAGAUAUAAAGAGAUGCAAGAAGAGAACUACCUCUUAUAACAGAUGAUNNNNNNNNNNNNNNNNNNNNNNNNNNNNNNNNNNNNNNNNNNNNNNNAAAAACACAAUCUCAUCAAAUGUUAGAAAAUAAAUCAUCAAAUAAUCUAGAAAUUUCAAAUCUUCUAGGGUUGAUUCCUCUUACCUACAAUAGCUUUGCUUGCACAAGAAGCUGUAUAGCAGGCCUGCAUAUCAAGGUCAAAUAAUAAAGCAGCACACAUCACUAACAUGUUUUGGUAACUUGAUUCAUUAGCUUAACAUGAAUAAUUGAACAUAAGGACUCAUUCUAUAUACUAAACGAUUAAAUGCAUGCUUUGGGUUUGUAUAACAUCUAAGCUGAAAGACAUACCGAGAAAGAUUGUUUCUGGAAAAUAUGUAAGCUGCAUUUACAGAUGAUGCAGUACCAAUUUUAUAAGAACCUGAAAUGGAUGAACACGUGGACUUUCCAAUUAGAAGCAGACAAUGUAGGAAAAGCUAAGUAGGAAUUAAUCCUUAAAGGAAGAAAACAAUAUAUAUCAUUCAGCCUAUCAGUUGCAUCUGAACUAUACAGAAAAUGACUAAACAACGGAGGGGGAAAUUAAAAGUUAAAGUUUCGUAGCUUGAAUUUUGUCACCCUAAAAUAAGUGUGUUUAGGAUAUGAAGUUCAAAAUAAAAGCAUCAAACCAUAUACCACAUUUCAGAAAAUGCAAAUUAAAUGGUGACUACCAUACUUGAUGAUCUAUAACUCUCGCACUUCUGGUGCAGAAUCCUCCUUCUGUGGCCAAUGCAUGUCCAUAGCAGCAGUUAUAAGAUCUAAUUUCUCAACCUGCAGCACACUACAACAAAUCACAAAUAGCGGUAGAAAUUUGAAUGUACGAACAAUAGAUCUGGUACAAGUGUAUGCACCCACACCCAAACAAAAAUUGCAGUGCAUACUGGAAUUCCAUAGUGAGGCCUCUUCCAGAACUUCCAAAAAUAAUCCAACAACUGAAUAAUUAAGACAUAAAAAUUAACUGGGAAAGAACAUGUGUAUUGUUAGGAGUUUGUGUGAUAUAAUUAAGACAUGUGUGAAUAAUCCAACAAAUAAUUAAGAACAUGUGUAUUGUUAGGAGUUUGUGUGAUAUAACUGGGAAAGUUGAAUUCAUAAUCUCUUUACUUAAACAUUGGAUAUGUGCAAUUCAUUGUUUUCACUUCUCUAUCUAUCAUAUUGCUGUGUCCAAAACCAAAAUCCAAUAGUUAUAAGUGAUAUAUAUUAUUUAUGAAUUGCAUAUCAUACAUCUCUUUUGUAUAUUUACACAUCUAUGAAAAACAAAUUGAUGAAGAUAAGAAAAUACUGACCAGCAUCAGGAAGGCAAUCUUUACGCAAAACAAAUGUCCUCUUCUUUUCAUGAUCAAUAAUUGCAAAAAAAAACUGACACAUAGCUACAUCAUCAUUGGCUACACACAUGUGAAUAGAAUAAGUCAAGUAUUAGAAUUAGAACAAUACACAUGUUCUUUUUUGCAUAUAAACUAAAUGACUUUAUGUUUAGAAUACUGCAUUUGCUUACUUACUGAUGUUAUAGAUGGAUGUUAUUCUAUUAGUUUCAACUUUCAAAUUAGUACUACCUGCAAGCAGAAUACUAAAAUAAGUCUGCAUCCUCUUGAAUACAUCACAAGAAACAGGUUAAAGCAUAUAAUAAUACCUCAUCCUCAGUUUCUACCUGAAUUCAAAAGAUUCAUCACAUUAAUGGAAAGUGUAGGAAAUGAGGGAGCCUACAAAAUUGAUAGAAAUCAAGAAAUACCACUCAAACUCCAAAGUAAAAGAGAAAAGAGUACAUGAUUCAACAUUGUUUACUUGAACAAAAGGAACAUCAAAAUGGGCAAAUACUCCUUCAAAAUCAUUUGGUGAUGAACCAUACCUGUGAUUGAUGCUUAUUAGUUUUAGGUAUCAGCUGGCUAAAUAUAAAAUACACAUUUGUAACCCAAAAAGAACAUGAGUCGUGAAAGUGCAAUUCAAUGAGGCAAUCAAUCAAACUUGUAAAAGGAGAAUUAAUUAAAGCUGUAAAAUGUACACAAAAAGUAGUAAAAUAAUAAAAUAAAUGCAUCGAAGAAUGAGAAAAUAACUCACUUCAACAUAUGAGAAUUAUUUCUAUCUUCCAUUCCUCUCAUCAGUCUUGAAUGUAUAAGGUUUUUCUAGGCCAGCCUCAUUAUANNNNN